This 301-nucleotide ribosomal RNA is filed under the name uncultured bacterium. Its description in RNAcentral is "partial 16S ribosomal RNA". It matches the Rfam family "Bacterial small subunit ribosomal RNA", at positions 509 to 807 of the family's 1533-position model. The record is from RNAcentral.
CAGUCGCCGCGGGAAUACGAAGGGUGCAAGCGUUACUCGGAAUUACUGGGCGUAAAGCGUGCGUAGGUGGUGGUUUAAGUCCGUUGUGAAAGCCCUGGGCUCAACCUGGGAAUUGCAGUGGAUACUGGGUCACUAGAGUGUGGUAGAGGAUAGUGGAAUUUCCGGUGUAGCAGUGAAAUGCGUAGAUAUGCGGAGGAACACCGAUGGCGAAGGCAGCCCCCUGGGCCAACACUGACGCUCAUGCACGAAAGCGUGGGGAGCAAACAGGAUUAGAUACCCCAGUAGUCCCUGUCUCUUAUAC